Molecule: ribosomal RNA, 253 nt
Filed under: uncultured bacterium
Lineage: Bacteria
Description: partial 16S ribosomal RNA
Rfam family: Bacterial small subunit ribosomal RNA
Source: RNAcentral
UACGGAGGGUGCGAGCGUUGUCCGGAAUCACUGGGCGUAAAGGGCGCGUAGGUGGCCGCUUAAGUGUGUGGUGAAAGCCCGGGGCUCAACCCCGGGUCGGCCGCGCAGACUGGGGGGCUGGAGCACUGUAGAGGCAGGCGGAAUUCCGGGUGUAGCGGUGGAAUGCGUAGAGAUCCGGAAGAACACCGGUGGCGAAGGCGGCCUGCUGGGCAGUUGCUGACACUGAGGCGCGACAGCGUGGGGAGCAAACAGG